GAUUUUUUUUAUAUGCGGGCCUUGCCGUUCAGAUAUUCGCGCUGCCAAGGCAACGCUAGUAAACAGCUGUCACUCGUGUAGCGGCCGUUAUCGAUAAUACGGUGCGAUUGGCGCGAUAUGCCGAUUAUUUUAUUGCGUAAUGCCUUAUCGUGCGUAAACAGGAGGACUUGAGCGGACGGUCGCGCAAUGCCGACGUUAUUGCGGCGCGGCGGAGAGGACACUUUCAUGUGAUCAACGGUUUCCGCAGCUGAGCUCCGAAGCGCGAAAUUUCGACUCAUCGAAUCACUGACGCAGGCGACUGACAGCUGUCAUGGCAGAAGCAACGCAGCAGUGCUCGUACGUGUCCUGCAUCAAAAGCUUUGGCAGGCCCAUUUUGCCUCCUCUGAUGACCAAUGAGAAGCGGCUGCUUAUGAGGCAUUUCAAGGCACUCGCCUGUGAGAGGGAGGCAGCGCGUGCAAAGCGCAAGAAGGAAGCGUUUCUCCACACCUUGUGUGAGGCUGACCUCGAGCUGGACCACAGUGAGGACAGCAGCCUUGAUGGGGCGCACACCGCACCACCAUCUCUGGCAGCUGCGGACAGUGGGGCAUGUCUGACAUUGCCUGCUGUGACAAGUCUAGGAAGAGACGUGCGAUGGGCUGUGUCAGACACCCCCGAGACUGGCUCCUCGGCGACCUUGGUGCCUAGCAGCUCAGACUCGGAGGCCAGUGGCACCAGCACGGCCGACUCUGUAGGCAGCAGGCAUGAUGAGGUAGCAGGUCAUCAAAAGGAUGGGACCAGGCUGUCCCCAAAAAAGGAUUUAGUGCCUGGUAACCAAGUUGGACAAACGGAGGUGCCCGUAACAUUGACAGAGGCAACACCAGCAAUGUCUCUAACAGCAACUACACCGAAGCAGUACCUAGAGGCAGCACCUACAACGAUGCCAAUGAUAAUGCCAAUGACACUGCUGGAGGUGACAACGGAGAUGACACUGACAACAAAACAGGUGGCACCGGCAACAACACCGACAACGAUGCCAAUGACAAUGCCACCUAAAACACCAGUGAUGAUGCCAAUGACAGCACAAUUGGUAUCAGCUGCAACAUCAACAACGAUACCAAUGACAAUACUUUCUAAAGAACCAGUGAUGACAGCGACAACACAAAUGACAUCAGCAUCAGCUGUGACAUCAACAACAAUGCCAAUAACAAUGCUGCCUAACGAAUCAGCGAUGACAGCGACAACACAAGUGACAUCAGCAUCAGCUGUGGCAUCAACAACGAUGCCACUGACAACGCUGCUUGAAGAACCAGUGAUGACAGCGACAAUGCAAGUGACAUCAGCUGCGACAUCAACAGUGAUGCCAAUGACAAUGCUGCCUAAAGAAUCGGUGAUGACAGCGACAACACAAAUGACAUCAACAUCAGGUGCAGCUCCAACAACGAUGCCAAUGACAAUGCCACAUAAAACACCAGUGAUGACUGCAGUGGCAACACAAACAUCAGCCACAAAACCAAUGACGAUGCCAAUGAUAAUUUCACCUAAAAUGCCAGUGACAACACAAGGGACUUCAGCUGCAACACUAACAACAAUGGCAGUGACAACACCCCUUUCAUCACCAAUCAGAGAGGAAUGCUUCUCAACCAAAGUGUCGGUGCCCUCACUGUGCCGAUCACGGUCGUUUGUUGUUGAGAGUCCGUCUCUGGCCCAGCUACUGCUGAGAGGACUGAAUCGAGAUGGUCGCAACAGCAUGAAUGGAACCGAUGCCAAGAUUGUUCAGCCAUGCAACUCGCCGACUAAGGAUUCAUUCUAUGUGAACCCUCGCAGCAGUGAGAGAAAUAUGUAUGCUGCAAGGGUGGGAGAACAAACUCGCAAAACAAAAGGCCUCAAUAUUUCAAAAACUUUCAUCAAAGCUGAUCGUAAAGUGAACUGUUCAAGUGUUAUCUCACAGUCGACAGAUGACACUACUGAUGAAAGUAGUCACCGAUUGGGUGGUGAUGUCCAACCUCAGAGGAACUCUGUAUGUGAGCCAGUGGGAGAGCAACACGACCUUGCUUCUUGUCGCAGUGAUCCGGACAUUCAUGCACGUGCAGAUGAAAACACUGAAAACACUAGAGGAUCCCCUCCAAUUGUGAAGCCCACAGCUUUACGAGUGCCUGCAUCACCUGACAGAAUUGAACAAGCACCAACCUUGCUGGGUAAAUGUCACAGUGUCGAUGCAUGCUUCAUUUCUCGUGUCUUCAGUGACACCCUAAAAAGUUUUGCCAGGACAAAUCAUCUUCCCACCCAUGAGACACCCGAUGGCAGUUUCAACAUUCCUUUCGACAACUCGUCCAAAGUGACUGGACGUGUCGUGCCUUGGACUUCCUCUAUACUUGACGUGGUAGCUGCAGCCAAAGAUCCUGCUGCAUCUGUGAAAGACAGUGCUGCUAACAAUACUUUGCACAACAUACCUAAUGUGCCUGGCGAUGAUUCAGCAGAGGAAACUGUAGUAGACGACGUGUUUACUGAUGCCCUCGAUGACAAAUGGGCUGAACUGUCGUCUGCUUCAUUGCCUGGAUUUUUUACCAAAGACAGUGCUGCGACUGCUUAUACCUUACCAAUGUUUGGCAAGACUUUUCUUAGCGACUGGGGCCGAGGUGAUGCUAGUUUUGUGCCAGCAUCACCAAGCUCCAACAAACACUCUAUCUGUUCCUCUAUUAGCAGCGUCCGCUCGUCGUUUGAUGCAGAACGUGAUGUCCUGGCACUUACUCUCAACUCUUCGGGUGAUGUUGAGGAGGAUGAAGAACAGUAUGAAGGUGUGGAUGAACAUCAUGAUGACCAAGCGAAUUCUUCUGCUGAACUGGGUGGAUCUUUAGAAAGUAGCGGAAGCUCAUUGGAUGAGUCAUCUGCAAGUUCUGGCAGUGAACACCUAAAGUCUCUUGAUCAGCGCAUGACGGCAGACGACAUGGUUGCUGCCCACGAGCUGAAGUUGCAGACUUUGUGCCAGACACUCGCACUGGACUAUGCCAGGGUCAACCAGAGUGGCUUUUCAGUUUUGCGGGAAGAAGCUGUUUCCAUAGCAUUGGGAGGGGAGGAGAAAUCUUGUACAGAUGACGACACACCACUGGAAGCACAGACAGCAGGUUCAAUAUUGCCUCCCAGUGCAGAUGGCCACAGUCCUUGUGGCCGCAACUCUUCUGACCACACAAGCCUACCGGCUGACCUGUCCAUGUUGAGGCACUCAGACGUGGACCACUCUCGAGUGGACUCGUCGCUGGCCAGCACAUCCAUUCACCUAGACUUGCUGUCGGAAACACGACAGUCCCUACACCCCAGGUGGCGCCGGUGUUUUGACCGACUCACCGCCAUGGCUAGGGGCCACCUGACUCGGAGGCUGAUGAAGACGCACCGUGUGCAGUCAAUCAUUCAGACCAUCAAGUGGACUGGUGACUCCGCAGGAUGUCGAGCUGCACCAGAGGCUCAUCACACAGCUCACGUCAGCGUGCUACGAGCUCCAUGAUGUGUUCUUCAACAUUCCGGUUGCCGAGAGGAUGCAGUUGAUUGCACAGCUGCGUUCACAGAAGGCUCGUCCACCUGUGCGAAUCACCAAGGGCUGCAUGGAGCAGGCACCAAAGAAGAUCUCCUUGGCCACACAGAAGGUGCUCGAGAGACGGCUCUCCAA
This 3640-nucleotide unclassified non-coding RNA is filed under the name Dermacentor andersoni. Its description in RNAcentral is "mucin-3A-like". The record is from RNAcentral. Lineage: Eukaryota; Metazoa; Arthropoda; Arachnida; Ixodida; Ixodidae.